This 2294-nucleotide ribosomal RNA is filed under the name Citrobacter sp. CK196. RNAcentral's name for it is "partial 23S ribosomal RNA". It matches the Rfam family "Bacterial large subunit ribosomal RNA", at positions 657 to 2925 of the family's 2925-position model. RNAcentral also lists the same sequence under 1 other name. The record is from RNAcentral. Lineage: Bacteria; Pseudomonadati; Pseudomonadota; Gammaproteobacteria; Enterobacterales; Enterobacteriaceae.
AUAGGGGAGCCGAAGGGAAACCGAGUCUUAACUGGGCGUUAAGUUGCAGGGUAUAGACCCGAAACCCGGUGAUCUAGCCAUGGGCAGGUUGAAGGUUGGGUAACACUAACUGGAGGACCGAACCGACUAAUGUUGAAAAAUUAGCGGAUGACCUGUGGCUGGGGGUGAAAGGCCAAUCAAACCGGGAGAUAGCUGGUUCUCCCCGAAAGCUAUUUAGGUAGCGCCUCGUGAAUUCAUCUCCGGGGGUAGAGCACUGUUUCGGCUAGGGGGCCAUCCCGGCUUACCAACCCGAUGCAAACUGCGAAUACCGGAGAAUGUUAUCACGGGAGACACACGGCGGGUGCUAACGUCCGUCGUGAAGAGGGAAACAACCCAGACCGCCAGCUAAGGUCCCAAAGUCAUGGUUAAGUGGGAAACGAUGUGGGAAGGCCCAGACAGCCAGGAUGUUGGCUUAGAAGCAGCCAUCAUUUAAAGAAAGCGUAAUAGCUCACUGGUCGAGUCGGCCUGCGCGGAAGAUGUAACGGGGCUAAACCAUGCACCGAAGCUGCGGCAGCGACACUAUGUGUUGUUGGGUAGGGGAGCGUUCUGUAAGCCGUUGAAGGUGUGCUGUGAGGCAUGCUGGAGGUAUCAGAAGUGCGAAUGCUGACAUAAGUAACGAUAAAGCGGGUGAAAAGCCCGCUCGCCGGAAGACCAAGGGUUCCUGUCCAACGUUAAUCGGGGCAGGGUGAGUCGACCCCUAAGGCGAGGCCGAAAGGCGUAGUCGAUGGGAAACAGGUUAAUAUUCCUGUACUUGGUGUUACUGCGAAGGGGGGACGGAGAAGGCUAUGUCGGCCGGGCGACGGUUGUCCCGGUUUAAGCGUGUAGGUGUGUGCUCCAGGCAAAUCCGGUGCACUUUAACACUGAGGCGUGAUGACGAGGCACUACGGUGCUGAAGUGACAAAUGCCCUGCUUCCAGGAAAAGCCUCUAAGCAUCAGGUAACACGAAAUCGUACCCCAAACCGACACAGGUGGUCAGGUAGAGAAUACCAAGGCGCUUGAGAGAACUCGGGUGAAGGAACUAGGCAAAAUGGUGCCGUAACUUCGGGAGAAGGCACGCUGAUAUGUAGGUGAAGUGAUUUACUCAUGGAGCUGAAAUCAGUCGAAGAUACCAGCUGGCUGCAACUGUUUAUUAAAAACACAGCACUGUGCAAACACGAAAGUGGACGUAUACGGUGUGACGCCUGCCCGGUGCCGGAAGGUUAAUUGAUGGGGUUAUCCCUCGGGAGAAGCUCUUGAUCGAAGCCCCGGUAAACGGCGGCCGUAACUAUAACGGUCCUAAGGUAGCGAAAUUCCUUGUCGGGUAAGUUCCGACCUGCACGAAUGGCGUAAUGAUGGCCAGGCUGUCUCCACCCGAGACUCAGUGAAAUUGAACUCGCUGUGAAGAUGCAGUGUACCCGCGGCAAGACGGAAAGACCCCGUGAACCUUUACUAUAGCUUGACACUGAACACUGGUCCUUGAUGUGUAGGAUAGGUGGGAGGCUUUGAAGUGUGGACGCCAGUCUGCAUGGAGCCGCCCUUGAAAUACCACCCUUUAAUGGCUGGUGUUCUAACGUGGGCCCGUAAUCCGGGUUGCGGACAGUGUCUGGUGGGUAGUUUGACUGGGGCGGUCUCCUCCUAAAGAGUAACGGAGGAGCACGAAGGUCAGCUAAUCCUGGUCGGACAUCAGGAGGUUAGUGCAAUGGCAUAAGCUGGCUUGACUGCGAGCGUGACGGCGCGAGCAGGUGCGAAAGCAGGUCAUAGUGAUCCGGUGGUUCUGAAUGGAAGGGCCAUCGCUCAACGGAUAAAAGGUACUCCGGGGAUAACAGGCUGAUACCGCCCAAGAGUUCAUAUCGACGGCGGUGUUUGGCACCUCGAUGUCGGCUCAUCACAUCCUGGGGCUGAAGUAGGUCCCAAGGGUAUGGCUGUUCGCCAUUUAAAGUGGUACGCGAGCUGGGUUUAGAACGUCGUGAGACAGUUCGGUCCCUAUCUGCCGUGGGCGCUGGAGAACUGAGGGGGGCUGCUCCUAGUACGAGAGGACCGGAGUGGACGCAUCACUGGUGUUCGGGUUGUCAUGCCAAUGGCACUGCCCGGUAGCUAAAUGCGGAAGAGAUAAGUGCUGAAAGCAUCUAAGCACGAAACUUGCCCCGAGAUGAGUUCUCCCUGACUCCUUGAGAGUCCUGAAGGAACGUUGAAGACGACGACGUUGAUAGGCCGGGUGUGUAAGCGCAGCGAUGCGUUGAGCUAACCGGUACUAAUGAACCGUGAGGCUUAACCUU